GACGAACGCUGGCGGCGUGCCUAAUACAUGCAAGUUGAGCGCUGAAGGUUGGUACUUGUACCGACUGGAUGAGCAGCGAACGGGUGAGUAACGCGUGGGGAAUCUGCCUUUGAGCGGGGGACAACAUUUGGAAACGAAUGCUAAUACCGCAUAAAAACUUUAAACACAAGUUUUAAGUUUGAAAGAUGCAAUUGCAUCACUCAAAGAUGAUCCCGCGUUGUAUUAGCUAGUUGGUGAGGUAAAGGCCCACCAAGGCGAUGAUACAUAGCCGACCUGAGAGGGUGGACGGCCAACUUGGGACUGGGACCCGGCCCAAACUCCUUCGGGGAGCAGCCAUAGGGAAUCUUCGGCAAUGGACGGAAGUCUGACCGGGCAACGCCGCGGGAGUGAAGGAGGUUUUCGGAUCGUAAAACUCUGUUGGUAGGGAAGAACGUUGGUGAGAGUGGAAAGCUCAUCAAGUGACGGUAACUACCCAGAAAGGGACGGCUAACUACGUG
RNAcentral lists this ribosomal RNA (497 nucleotides) under uncultured bacterium. RNAcentral describes it as "partial 16S ribosomal RNA". It matches the Rfam family "Bacterial small subunit ribosomal RNA", at positions 28 to 507 of the family's 1533-position model. The record is from RNAcentral.